CCUACGGGUGGCAGCAGUGAGGAAUAUUGGUCAAUGGACGAGAGUCUGAACCAGCCAAGUAGCGUGAAGGAUGACUGCCCUAUGGGUUGUAAACUUCUUUUAUAUGGGAAUAAAACGUUCCACGUGUGGGAUUUUGUAUGUACCAUAUGAAUAAGGGUAGGCUAACUCCGUGCCAGCAGCCGCGGUAAUACGGAGGAUCCGAGUGUUAUCCGGAUUUAUUGGGUUUAAAGGGAGCGUAGGUGGAUUGUUAAGUCAGUUGUGAAAGUUUGCGGUUCAACCGUAAAAUUGCAGUUGAAACUGGCAGUCUUGAGUACAGUAGAGGUGGGCGGAAUUCGUGGUGUAGCGGUGAAAUGCUUAGAUAUCACGAAGAACUCCGAUUGCGAAGGCAGUUCACUGGACUGCAACUGACACUGAGGCUCGAAAGUGUGGGUAUCAAACAGGAUUAGAUACCCGGGUAGUC
This 460-nucleotide ribosomal RNA is filed under the name uncultured bacterium. Its description in RNAcentral is "partial 16S ribosomal RNA". It matches the Rfam family "Bacterial small subunit ribosomal RNA", at positions 338 to 795 of the family's 1533-position model. The record is from RNAcentral.